GAUGAACGCUGGCGGCGUGCCUAAUACAUGCAAGUCGAGCGAACGGACGAGAAGCUUGCUUCUCUGAUGUUAGCGGCGGACGGGUGAGUAACACGUGGAUAACCUACCUAUAAGACUGGGAUAACUUCGGGAAACCGGAGCUAAUACCGGAUGAUAUUUUGAACCGCAUGGUUCAAAAGUGAAAGACGGUCUUGCUGUCACUUAUAGAUGGAUCCGCGCUGCAUUAGCUAGUUGGUAAGGUAACGGCUUACCGAGGCAACGAUGCAUAGCCGACCUGAGAGGGUGAUCGGCCACACUGGAACUGAGACACGGUCCAGACUCCUACGGGAGGCAGCAGUAGGGAAUCUUCCGCAAUGGGCAAAAGCCUGACGGAGCAACGCCGCGUGAGUGAUGAAGGUCUUCGGAUCGUAAAACUCUGUUAUUAGGGAAGAACAUAUGUGUAAGUAACUGUGCACAUCUUGACGGUACCUAAUCAGAAAGCCACGGCUAACUACGUG
Molecule: ribosomal RNA, 497 nt
Filed under: uncultured bacterium
Lineage: Bacteria
Description: partial 16S ribosomal RNA
Rfam family: Bacterial small subunit ribosomal RNA
Source: RNAcentral